RNAcentral lists this ribosomal RNA (253 nucleotides) under uncultured bacterium. RNAcentral describes it as "partial 16S ribosomal RNA". It matches the Rfam family "Bacterial small subunit ribosomal RNA", at positions 524 to 776 of the family's 1533-position model. The record is from RNAcentral.
UACGGAGGGUGCAAGCGUUAUCCGGAUUCACUGGGCUUAAAGGGAGCGCAGGCGGCUUGGUAAGUCAGUGGUGAAAGGCUUGAGCUUAACUCGGGAACUGCCAUUGAUACUAUCAGUCUUGAAUAUUGUUGAGGUUUGCGGAAUGGGUCAUGUAGCGGUGAAAUGCUUAGAUAUGACAUAGAACACCAAUUGCGAAGGCAGCUGGCUACACAAAUAUUGACACUGAGGCACGAAAGCGUGGGGAUCAAACAGG